Molecule: long non-coding RNA, 910 nt
Organism: Lolium rigidum
Lineage: Eukaryota; Viridiplantae; Streptophyta; Magnoliopsida; Poales; Poaceae
Exons: 3
Source: RefSeq, a predicted model, not a curated record
GCAAGACCCAGCCGUCCCGGCUCCUCCAGAUGCGCUCUGACAGGGAGGCCGACAUUCAGCUGGUGCUCUCCUCCAAACGCACCGAUGAUGCAUGGCUACUGCUGCUAACCUGCCCCCUGCCACGUACGCAGCACGCUGGUUCACAUAUACAAUACAUUUCAGUUGAUUUUAGGGAGAACACCAAUCAAAGCAGUUGUUGAGGAUCCGGAUGGACAUACUGUCAAUAUUGAGACAUGAAAGGGAGACCUCGUGCAUGGUGAUGAGAGUAUACUUUGUAGAUAAUAUAGUCGGGAAAUGCAAGCCUCAGUCUUGUACUUGUCGCUGCAAUAGUCUGAAACAGAAUGAACCGAUGAAGCAGCUGGAGGAGCGGAUGGUUCAGACAGAUUGGAGGCUUCACGUAGAGCUUGCUGGACCGCGUUGUGCGUGUGGCCGAGUGAGUCGGUGCGGCUGCUGGUCGCCGGUGAGGUGGUGCUGGUCACCACGACGCGACGCUGACGACCCAAACUAUGGUCAUCACAAGCAGGAGGAGAUGUCGGACGGGUCCUUCCGGUGCAGCGCCUCGGCUCUGUUAUCGUGGUCUCCUCUGACCAUCUGGUGAUAUCUCCCUUUCCCCAACCCUUUGGCCUUACCUGGAGUCUGCCCUAUUGUAGAAAAAAUUCUAUCUUGGGCAGCUUGUACUAAUCACGAUUGGAUGAUUUACUACAUGUUUGUUUUAGUGUAAUUUGACUUGCUUAAGGUUGAUCAGUAGUACUUCUUUAACUUCUUCUGGCACGGUCAAGAAAUUUCAAAACUGGGCAAUGUUCUCAUGUCUAGAUCCACUUUGGCUGAUCUGCUGUGGGAUCUAGUGAUAGAAAUCUGCGAUUUCUUAUCUAUUUGGUGCUAGCCCAUAGUCAUUUGACAAUGAAUUUUC